RNAcentral lists this transfer RNA (72 nucleotides) under Vicugna pacos (alpaca). RNAcentral describes it as "tRNA-Ala (GGC) (tRNA-Ala-GGC-7-1)". It matches the Rfam family "tRNA". From Rfam's summary of the family: Transfer RNA (tRNA) molecules are approximately 80 nucleotides in length. Their secondary structure includes four short double-helical elements and three loops (D, anti-codon, and T loops). The record is from Rfam by way of RNAcentral. Lineage: Eukaryota; Metazoa; Chordata; Mammalia; Artiodactyla; Camelidae.
GGGGUUAUAGCUCAGUGGUAGAGUGUGUGCUUGGCAUGCACGAGGUCCUGGGUUCAAUCCCCAGUACCUCCA